RNAcentral lists this ribosomal RNA (253 nucleotides) under uncultured bacterium. RNAcentral describes it as "partial 16S ribosomal RNA". It matches the Rfam family "Bacterial small subunit ribosomal RNA", at positions 524 to 776 of the family's 1533-position model. The record is from RNAcentral.
UACAGAGGUCCCGAGCGUUGUUCGGAUUCACUGGGCGUAAAGGGUGCGUAGGUGGCGAGGUAAGUCGGAUGUGAAAGCUCGGAGCUCAACUCCGAAAUGACAUUGGAAACUACCUUGCUCGAGGGUUGGAGGGGGGACUGGAAUACUUGGUGUAGCAGUGAAAUGCGUAGAUAUCAGGAGGAACACCAGUUGCGAAGGCAGCUCGCUGGGACGUUACUGACGCUGAGACGCGAAAGCGUGGGGAGCAAACAGG